Molecule: ribosomal RNA, 515 nt
Filed under: uncultured Bacillus sp.
Lineage: Bacteria; Bacillati; Bacillota; Bacilli; Caryophanales; Bacillaceae
Description: bacterial SSU rRNA
Rfam family: Bacterial small subunit ribosomal RNA
Source: RNAcentral
CCGCGUGAGUGAUGAAGGCUUUCGGAUCGUAAAACUCUGUUGUUAGGGAAGAACAGGUGCUAGUUGAAUAAUCUGGCACCUUGACGGUACCUAACCAGAAAGCCACGGCUAACUACGUGCCAGCAGCCGCGGUAAUACGUAGGUGGCAAGCGUUAUCCGGAAUUAUUGGGCGUAAAGCGCGCGCAGGUGGUUUCUUAAGUCUGAUGUGAAAGCCCACGGCUCAACCGUGGAGGGUCAUUGGAAACUGGGAGACUUGANUGCAGAAGAGGAAAGUGGAAUUCCAUGUGUAGCGGUGAAAUGCGUAGAGAUAUGGAGGAACACCAGUGGCGAAGGCGACUUUCUGGUCUGUAACUGACACUGAGGCGCGAAAGCGUGGGGAGCAAACAGGAUUAGAUACCCUGGUAGUCCACGCCGUAAACGAUGAGUGCUAAGUGUUAGAGGGUUUCCGCCCUUUAGUGCUGAAGUUAACGCAUUAAGCACUCCGCCUGGGGAGUACGGCCGCAAGGCUGAAACUC